This 253-nucleotide ribosomal RNA is filed under the name uncultured bacterium. RNAcentral's name for it is "partial 16S ribosomal RNA". It matches the Rfam family "Bacterial small subunit ribosomal RNA", at positions 524 to 776 of the family's 1533-position model. The record is from RNAcentral.
UACAGAGGUCUCAAGCGUUGUUCGGAUUCAUUGGGCGUAAAGGGUGUGUAGGCGGCGCCGUAAGUCGGGUGUGAAAUUUCGGAGCUUAACUCCGAAACUGCAUUCGAUACUGCGGUGCUUGAGGACUGGAGAGGAGACUGGAAUUCAUGGUGUAGCAGUGAAAUGCGUAGAGAUCAUGAGGAAGACCAGUGGCGAAGGCGGGUCUCUGGACAGUUCCUGACGCUGAGACACGAAAGCGUGGGGAGCAAACAGG